RNAcentral lists this non-coding RNA (21 nucleotides) under Caenorhabditis elegans. The record is from RNAcentral. Lineage: Eukaryota; Metazoa; Nematoda; Chromadorea; Rhabditida; Rhabditidae.
UCUGUAUCGAAUGUGUGACUA